GCGCACGCUGGCGGCAGGCUUAACACAUGCAAGUCGAGCGGGCAUAGCAAUAUGUCAGCGGCAGACGGGUGAGUAACGCGUGGGAACGUACCUUUUGGUUCGGAACAACUGAGGGAAACUUCAGCUAAUACCGGAUAAGCCCUUACGGGGAAAGAUUUAUCGCCGAAAGAUCGGCCCGCGUCUGAUUAGCUAGUUGGUGAGGUAAUGGCUCACCAAGGCGACGAUCAGUAGCUGGUCUGAGAGGAUGAUCAGCCACAUUGGGACUGAGACACGGCCCAAACUCCUACGGGAGGCAGCAGUGGGGAAUAUUGGACAAUGGGCGCAAGCCUGAUCCAGCCAUGCCGCGUGAGUGAUGAAGGCCCUAGGGUUGUAAAGCUCUUUUGUGCGGGAAGAUAAUGACGGUACCGCAAGAAUAAGCCCCGGCUAACUUCGUG
RNAcentral lists this ribosomal RNA (434 nucleotides) under uncultured bacterium. Its description in RNAcentral is "partial 16S ribosomal RNA". It matches the Rfam family "Bacterial small subunit ribosomal RNA", at positions 29 to 507 of the family's 1533-position model. The record is from RNAcentral.